UACGUAGGGUGCGAGCGUUAAUCGGAAUUACUGGGCGUAAAGCGUGCGCAGGCGGUUGGCAAAGUCAGCUGUGAAAGCCCCGGGCUCAACCUGGGAAUGGCAAUGGAAACUGGCGGGCUAGAGUGUGGCAGAGGGGGGUGGAAUUCCGCGUGUAACAGUGAAAUGCGUAGAGAUGCGGAGGAACACCGAUGGCGAAGGCAGCCCCCUGGGCUAGCACUGACGCUCAGGCACGAAAGCGUGGGGAGCAAACAGG
This 253-nucleotide ribosomal RNA is filed under the name uncultured bacterium. RNAcentral describes it as "partial 16S ribosomal RNA". It matches the Rfam family "Bacterial small subunit ribosomal RNA", at positions 524 to 776 of the family's 1533-position model. The record is from RNAcentral.